This 429-nucleotide ribosomal RNA is filed under the name bacterium. RNAcentral describes it as "partial 16S ribosomal RNA". It matches the Rfam family "Bacterial small subunit ribosomal RNA", at positions 355 to 776 of the family's 1533-position model. The record is from RNAcentral.
UAGGGAAUCUUCCACAAUGGACGCAAGUCUGAUGGAGCAACGCCGCGUGAGUGAAGAAGGUUUUCGGAUCGUAAAGCUCUGUUGUUGGUGAAGAAGGAUAGAGGCAGUAACUGGUCUUUAUUUGACGGUAAUCAACCAGAAAGUCACGGCUAACUACGUGCCAGCAGCCGCGGUAAUACGUAGGUGGCAAGCGUUGUCCGGAUUUAUUGGGCGUAAAGCGAGCGCAGGCGGAAUGAUAAGUCUGAUGUGAAAGCCCACGGCUCAACCGUGGAACUGCAUCGGAAACUGACAUUCUUGAGUGCAGAAGAGGAGAGUGGAAUUCCAUGUGUAGCGGUGGAAUGCGUAGAUAUAUGGAAGAACACCAGUGGCGAAGGCGGCUCUCUGGUCUGCAACUGACGCUGAGGCUCGAAAGCAUGGGUAGCGAACAGG